This 253-nucleotide ribosomal RNA is filed under the name uncultured bacterium. RNAcentral describes it as "partial 16S ribosomal RNA". It matches the Rfam family "Bacterial small subunit ribosomal RNA", at positions 524 to 776 of the family's 1533-position model. The record is from RNAcentral.
UACGUAGGGUGCAAGCGUUGUCCGGAAUUAUUGGGCGUAAAGAGCUCGUAGGCGGUCUGUCGCGUCUGCUGUGAAAACCUGGGGCUUAACCCCGGGCCUGCAGUGGGUACGGGCAGACUAGAGUGUGGUAGGGGAGACUGGAAUUCCUGGUGUAGCGGUGAAAUGCGCAGAUAUCAGGAGGAACACCGGUGGCGAAGGCGGGUCUCUGGGCCGAUACUGACGCUGAGGAGCGAAAGCGUGGGGAGCAAACAGG